CCAAUAGCGUAUAUUAAAGUUGUUGCAGUUAGAAAGCUCGUAGUUGAAUUUCGGGAUUGACGUGAUGGUCGUGCCUUACGGGGUAUGAACUGUUGCUGUUGAUUUCUCACCUUCUGGAGAAACUUGAUGUCCUUAAUUGGGUGUCUUGCGGAUCCAGGACCUUUACCUUGAAAAAAUUAGAGUGUUUAAAGCAGGCAUUUUUGCUCGAAUACAUUAGCAUGGAAUAAUAGAAUAGGACGGCAUGGUUCUAUUUUGUUGGUUUCUAGGAUCACCGUAAUGAUUAAUAGGGAUAGUUGGGGGCAUUAGUAUUCAAUUGUCAGAGGUGAAAUUCUUGGAUUUAUUGAAGACUAACUACUGCGAAAGCAUUUGCCAAGGAUGUUUUCAUUAAUCAAGAACGAAAGUUAGGGGAUCGAAGACGAUCAGAUACCGUCGUAGUCUUAACCAUAAACUAUGCCGACUAGGAAUCAGACGAUGUUAAUUUUUUAAUGACUCGUUUGGCACCUUACG
Molecule: ribosomal RNA, 507 nt
Filed under: uncultured Glomeromycotina
Lineage: Eukaryota; Fungi; Glomeromycota
Description: partial small subunit ribosomal RNA
Rfam family: Eukaryotic small subunit ribosomal RNA
Source: RNAcentral